GGACGCGUGCGGGCUGUCAAAGACGCUUGAAAGGGGAUUGAAAAUCCCCGUGUAGGCGGUUCGAUUCCGUCCUCGGCCACCA
Molecule: transfer RNA, 82 nt
Filed under: Xanthomonas hortorum
Lineage: Bacteria; Pseudomonadati; Pseudomonadota; Gammaproteobacteria; Lysobacterales; Lysobacteraceae
Also listed under: 2 other names
Description: tRNA-Ser
Source: RNAcentral